Molecule: microRNA precursor, 114 nt
Filed under: Pelobates cultripes (western spadefoot toad)
Lineage: Eukaryota; Metazoa; Chordata; Amphibia; Anura; Pelobatidae
Source: RNAcentral
AACACCCAACACACUGCGCCCUUCACACACACAAUACGUCCAAACAUAUAUAUAUAUAUAUAUGUAUGUGUUUGGACGUAUUGUAUGUGUGAAGGGCGCAGUGUGUUGGGUGUA